AUGCAUGUUGCAGGCAAUGAACUAUUUUACAAGAUAAAAUAUCAGGAAGGGGCAUCUCAUAAUACUGCAGCUAUUAAAAAGAAUCCAAAUGAGCCCGCGUCACCAUCGUCGUCCAGAGACAGGUCGGCAAGGGAGGCUAUGAGGAAUUGGCCCAUGGAUAAGAAUAUUUCAGUCGCUGAAGAGAUUGUUGAACAUAUGACAUUGAUGCAAAUCUCUGGCCACCUACAAGUGAAACUGCUUGAAGACCAAGUUCGAAUAUGUAUGAGCGCAGUGAAGUUCGGCAUGCAAGUCUAUUCGCAGUCUCGCACCCUAAUGUAA
RNAcentral lists this ribosomal RNA (318 nucleotides) under Triticum aestivum (bread wheat). RNAcentral describes it as "partial small subunit ribosomal RNA". Lineage: Eukaryota; Viridiplantae; Streptophyta; Magnoliopsida; Poales; Poaceae. The record is from RNAcentral.